RNAcentral lists this ribosomal RNA (447 nucleotides) under uncultured bacterium. RNAcentral's name for it is "SSU rRNA". It matches the Rfam family "Bacterial small subunit ribosomal RNA", at positions 26 to 518 of the family's 1533-position model. The record is from RNAcentral.
AGAGCGAACGCUGGCGGCAGGCUUAACACAUGCAAGUCGAGCGGGCGUAGCAAUACGUCAGCGGCAGACGGGUGAGUAACGCGUGGGAACGUACCUUUUGGUUCGGAACAACCCAGGGAAACUUGGGCUAAUACCGGAUAAGCCCUUACGGGGAAAGAUUUAUCGCCGAAAGAUCGGCCCGCGUCUGAUUAGCUAGUUGGUGAGGUAAUGGCUCACCAAGGCGACGAUCAGUAGCUGGUCUGAGAGGAUGAUCAGCCACAUUGGGACUGAGACACGGCCCAAACUCCUACGGGAGGCAGCAGUGGGGAAUAUUGGACAAUGGGCGCAAGCCUGAUCCAGCCAUGCCGCGUGAGUGAUGAAGGCCCUAGGGUUGUAAAGCUCUUUUGUGCGGGAAGAUAAUGACGGUACCGCAAGAAUAACGCCCGGCUAACUUCGCGCCAGCGCCGC